Molecule: ribosomal RNA, 497 nt
Filed under: uncultured bacterium
Lineage: Bacteria
Description: partial 16S ribosomal RNA
Rfam family: Bacterial small subunit ribosomal RNA
Source: RNAcentral
GAUGAACGCUGGCGGCGUGCCUAAUACAUGCCAGUCGAGCGAACGGACGAGAAGCUUGCUUCUCUGAUGUUAGCGGCGGACGGGUGAGUAACACGUGGAUAACCUACCUAUAAGACUGGGAUAACUUCGGGAAACCGGAGCUAAUACCGGAUAAUAUUUUGAACCGCAUGGUUCAAAAGUGAAAGACGGUCUUGCUGUCACUUAUAGAUGGAUCCGCGCUGCAUUAGCUAGUUGGUAAGGUAACGGCUUACCAAGGCAACGAUGCAUAGCCGACCUGAGAGGGUGAUCGGCCACACUGGAACUGAGACACGGUCCAGACUCCUACGGGAGGCAGCAGUAGGGAAUCUUCCGCAAUGGGUGAAAGCCUGACGGAGCAACGCCGCGUGAGUGAUGAAGGUCUUCGGAUCGUAAAACUCUGUUAUUAGGGAAGAACAUAUGUGUAAGUAACUGUGCACAUCUUGACGGUACCUAAUCAGAAAGCCACGGCUAACUACGUG